Molecule: ribosomal RNA, 253 nt
Filed under: uncultured bacterium
Lineage: Bacteria
Description: partial 16S ribosomal RNA
Rfam family: Bacterial small subunit ribosomal RNA
Source: RNAcentral
UACAGGGGGUGCAAACGUUGCUCGGAAUUAUUGGGCGUAAAGCGCGCGUAGGCAGCUACUUAAGUCGGAUGUGAAAGCCCUUGGCUCAACUGAGGAAGUGCACCCGAAACUGAGUGGCUUGAGUACUAAAGAGGGUCGCGGAAUUCCCGGUGUAGAGGUGAAAUUCGUAGAUAUCGGGAGGAACACCGGUGGCGAAGGCGGCGACCUGGGUAGAUACUGACGCUGAGGCGCGAAAGCGUGGGGAGCAAACAGG